This 233-nucleotide unclassified non-coding RNA is filed under the name plant metagenome. RNAcentral describes it as "partial contains small subunit ribosomal RNA, internal transcribed spacer 1, and 5.8S ribosomal RNA". The record is from RNAcentral.
UUUCCGUAGGUGAACCUGCGGAAGGAUCAUUAUUGGAUUUUGAAACUUCAGGCUGCUGCUGGCUCUCCUCGGAGGGCAUGUGCACGCUUGUUGUCCAUUAUUUCUCCCACUGUGCACAAAUUGUAGACCUUUCAGUAGGCCUAUGUUGUUCUUCACAAUCUCUGAAUGUAAUAAAAUGGUUUUGAAUCUUGGGAAGUACAAUACAACUUUCAGCAACGGAUCUCUUGGCUCUC